This 1248-nucleotide long non-coding RNA is filed under the name Homo sapiens (human). RNAcentral's name for it is "HSALNT0260687". The record is from RNAcentral. Lineage: Eukaryota; Metazoa; Chordata; Mammalia; Primates; Hominidae.
CUAUGAAAGGUGAGCACUCUGCCCCCUGUUGGGGGAUACGUCUGUCCCCCGCAGGACUAGGAAUUCCUUGAGGGCACAGAUUGGUGCUGGUUUGGUCCCUGCUGUUUCGCCAGCAUUGCCAGCACAAGGCCUGGCACAGGGCAGAGGCUCACAAAAUACCAGCUAAAGGAAAUAAUGAAUGGAUGGAGGGAUGAAUGGUGUGUAACCGCCCAAGGAGUUCACCUUGCCCGCUGCCUAGACAGAGCUGAUUCAUCAAGAGAGGAGAACUGCAAGACAAAGAGUAAUUCACGCAGAGUUGGCUGUGCGGGAGGGUGUUUUGUUUGUUUGUUUGAGAUUGAGACAGUCUUGCUCUGUUGCCCAGACUGGAGGGCAGUGGUGCAAUCUCGGAUCACUGCAACCUCUACCUCCUAGGUUCAAGCAAUUCUCCUGCCUCAGCCUCCUGAGUAGAUGAGAUUACAGAUGUGCGCCACCACACCCAGCUAAUUUUUGUAUUUUCAGUAGACACGGGUUUUCACCAUGUUGGUCAGGCUGGUCUCGAACUCCUGACCUCAUGAUCCACCCACCUCGGCCUCCCAAAGUGCUGGAAUUACAGACGUGAGCCACCGCGCCCCAGCCAGGAGUCUUACCAUUACUCAAAUCAGUCUCCCUGAGCAUUCAGGGAGAUUUUAUUUUUAUUUUAUUUUAUUUUUUUUUUUUGAGAUGGAUUUUCACUCUUUCGCCUGGGCUGGAAUGAAGUGACGCGAUCUUGGCUCACUGCAACCUCCAUCCCCGGGUUCAAGCGAUUCUCAUGCUCCAGCCUCCCGAGUAGCUGGGAUUAUAGGCGCCCGCCACCAAGCCCGCCUAACUUUUGUAUUUUUAGUAGAGACGGGGUUUGACCAUGCUGGCCAGGCUGGUUGCAAACUCCUGACCUCAGGUGCUCCACCCCCCUCAGCCUUCCAAAGUGCUAGGAUUACAGAUGCGAGCCAAUGGGCCCAGCUGGAGCAGAGUUUUUUUGUUUUUUGUUUUUGUUUUGAGACGGAGUCUCGGUCUGUCGCCCAGGCUGGAGUGUAGUGGUGCGAUCUCGGUGGAGCAGAGUUUUUAAGGAUAACUUGAUGGGUGAGGGGAAGCCAGUGAGCCAGGAGUGCUGAUUGGUCAGAGAUGAAAUCACAGGGAGUCGGAGCUGUCUUCUUGCGCUCAGUCAGUUCCUGGGUUGGGGGGCCACAAGAUCAGAUGGGCCAGUUUAUUGAUCUGGGUAAGGCCAGCUGAUCC